AACAAAACAACUCAAAGAGAUUAAGAGAUGAAUAUUAUAUUCAGAAUCAAAUUCUUCGGAGAAAUUGGAGUUUAACUUAAAAGCUUCAAUUUUUCUCUCAAGUUUCUUCAAGAGGCUUGCGUUUGUGUGCAAUUGUAAAAUCUAAUAUCAAAUCAAGUAAACUCUUGCAAAGGUGCGACCAAACUUCACAAAAAUUUAGGUGUGUAUUUCCAACUGCAUCUGAUUAAACUAAAAGAGAUCGAGACAUCGCGUUUAAAAAUUUUCAGAAACAUAAAGAAGAAUAAAGUCGCAUGGAUGAGAAUCCAAAAAAAACUUCAAGUAGCAAAACUACAAGACAUAAGAGUCGUAGCAAAGGGAAUGAACCCACCAACAAGAGAUUUAACACUGCCGACGAUAGCGAAGUCGAUUCGAUAGAGUGUUCAGGCAAAUAUUGCAAAUCAUGCACAACAGGAUUAGUAGCUGAUUGUGUUGCCCUAUGUUGUUGUCCUUGUGUUGUGUUACAUUGUUUUGCUUUGGCUUUUAUAAAGGCACCUUGGGUUAUGGGAAGAAAAUGUUUGGGAUUAGGGAGCAAGAACAAGAAGAAUAAGAAGAAGAGGUGUUGUCAUAAGAAGAGAUGCAAAAUGGGGCACAAAGAUGUUGAUGAUGAUGAUGUGUUGGAAGAGAAAAAGGAUGAGGAUUUGAAUGUAGGGUGGCCAACAUCACCAAUGGAUAGUGCUCAUGUUAAUGUUGGAUUUGAAGCUGAAAAGGUUUGGCAUGAGUUGUAUCAAAUUGGUCAUUUAGGUUUUAGUAGGGUUUCUUUCUCAAAUGAUUAAUUUCAUUGCUUUUCCUCAAUUUUUUUUACGUUGAAAUUGAUAUUGAGUUUGACAAAAUCACAACGAAUAACUGUAAUUUUGACACAAUUUUGAUUUUAAAAUUUCAGAUGAAUUAUUGUGUCACUAUGAUUCGAUUAUAGUAAUUAUGAUUGAGUGUG
Vicia villosa (hairy vetch) is the source of this 970-nucleotide long non-coding RNA. RefSeq lists it as uncharacterized. NCBI's taxonomy places the organism in Eukaryota, Viridiplantae, Streptophyta, Magnoliopsida, Fabales, Fabaceae. The record is from RefSeq and is a predicted model, not a curated record. The transcript is spliced from 3 exons.